GCCAAAGAGAAGGGACAAAGCUGCUAAAAAUCUUUCUGCACAUAAAGUUGGAUGUUACAUGUAUCUAGUAGGAAAGUUGAAAAUGGAGAAAAGGGAAGGAUGUUCUUAGUGGGAGCCUAGAAAGAAUCAAAAAUGUGUGACAAAUCCCAAAACCCAGAGAAGGAACAGAGAACAAAUAGCUGUGGAGAAAGGGAUCAACGUCCUGUCUUGAAUGGGACUUAUGGUCAAAUUUUGAAGAGAUUUCAAGAAGUUGUCAAUGCCCAAAGAACUGGUGGUAAUGAAAAACAGUAUAAGGUGGUUAUACUUCGACCAAAACCAAGUGGAAAUUUGGGAAGCCCCCAAGCGGUCCCAAAGCACAAAGUUAACAUUAAAACCUAUCAAACCUUGGCAGCCUUUUCAAAUAGCAGUUUACCUCAAACUUUUUCAUCAGUUACAUCUGAUGGUGAACAUGUUCCAUCAUCUGCCCCUGACAUCAAAUCUGAGAUUAAAUGUGAAGAUAGUCAGACAAUGGCAAGCUUUUCAAACAGCAAUUUACCUCAAACCCUUUCAUCACUUACAUCUGAUGGUGUACAUGUUUUGCCAUCUGUUUCAGACAUUAAAUCCGAGAUUUGUGAAGACGACCAAGAACCGUCAAAGAUCGCUUCAGGCUCGUGUUAUGAUACACAAAUUAAUUCUCAGAAUUAUCAAACAUUUCAGAUCUUCCGCACCUCUACAUCAGGAGAAGGAAUAUCACCAGUUUCCCAAGAGAUAAAAUCAGAGGUUUGCGAAACCGAUGUAUCAUCUGCAUUAUAUUCACAGUCUGCACCUGUGCCAUGCAGAGAGCUGCAGAGAGAUUUUCAAAAUUGUAUGCAAUCUGGCCCACCACCAUAUUUCUCUCACUACAUAUCUACACCCCAAGUCUCUACAAUUUCUGAGGCUGUCAAGUCUGAGCCUAGUGAAGAGAAUCUAGAAUCUGCUCAGAUCACAGAGUUUUCAACUGUUAAGCAAGAGUGUGCUUCAGAGGACUUUAUCUCAAAUGAUAAAUCUGUAGAUGUCCUGCAAGAUAUCUAUAGUGGAAAAGAAGACCCAGAAAUGCUUAAAGAAAUCAAAACUGAGGUUUAUAUUGAGAAUUUAGAGUUUUCAUCACAUUUAGAAACUUCUUCUGUAUCAUCCAAAGAAAAAGGAAGACUCUUUGCAGAAAACUAUUCCCUUGCUGCUGAUUUCAAUUCCCACAGCUCUUUCAACAUACCUGAAGAAAAUAGACCAGAAACUGGUUCAACAAGUAGAGUAAUCAAAGAUGAGGACUACUCUGUAUUUAAUCAAUCAUCACAGAUCCAAACUGCAGAAUGCAGAAGUUCAUCAAAUGAGUUGUUACCGACUGAACAUCUUGUUCCUGUAACAUUUAUACCUACUAUUGUUGAUCAAAAAGAAUCUGGUCAAAUACGUGGACAAGCUAUGGAUUCAACCAACAGGCAACCAAUAAGCAAUGCCUUAAAUGAAUUCAUGCUGACUGGAAAGUUUUUUAAAUGUGGAUUUUGUGAUGCCGCAUACAAGGAAUUGGAUGAAUUGAGGGAGCAUUUUAGGACCAAUCACAACCAAAUAUGUCUUGUUUGUGGAAAACCUGUACCCAUGUUGACAGACAUGCAGACUCACUUAGCCCACUGUCAACCAACGCAACAAGGACCUGUUUAUGCAAAUUGUCAAAUAUGUUCAAAGCUAGUAAGAAAUAAGUCACUGGGCGUACACUAUAGGGUCCAUGGACUAAGACCCCAGGACUUAAUAUUUAGAUGUAAUACAUGCGGUAAGGAUUUCACAUUUUGGGACAGAAACCUUAAUUGCAUGCACUUAGAUGGACAACCUUCCACCAGCAGAAAAAUGAUUUUAUUUUGCAUUUUAUGUAAAAAGGAGUUUGAGGAAUUGCAACCAUUUAAAGAACACUUGAAAGAAGUUCACAGAGUAUCUGGACCAGAAAUGUUCCCAUGCAAUAUAUGUUCAAAGAUUUACAGUCGCCAGUUUUAUUUACAGAAGCACCUGGAGAAUCAUGAAAAAAGAAAGCAGCGCGUGCUUGAGCGAGCAAAAAUACGUAAGAUGGAAUCGAAAAAGUUUAGCGAAUAUCAGAAGCGUCUAAAGGCUUUAAAGAAACAGAAUAAAAGCAAGCUCAGGAGGUGUACUGUGUGCAAAAAAUUGGUAAUUCAAGCAGGAAAUACAAGGGUAAACAACGUAACACAGGGAAAGAUUUAUGAGCCUAAUGAGUGUUUGUCAAUGCAAGCAAAGAAAGUUUUAGAUCACAAAGAAAAUGUUAAGCUCCAAAGCAAGGAAAAUGGGAAGAAAAAGAGUGUCAGUUUUAUGUGCACAAAAUGUGAAGAGCGCACUAAGCUUAAAUUAACUCUGUUGAAAUGUAGGAUGGCCCAGAAAGUCUACAGAUGUCAGAUUUGUUCACAGACAUUCAUUAAGUUAAUUCACUUGAAAUCACAUAUGAAUAGUCAUGUGUCUAGCACAGAAAAAAUCUGCAUUAUCUGCAGGAAGGCAUUUAGUCAAAACCGAAAUCUUAGGCUCCACAUAAAGGGUCAUGCAGACACGAAUGGCUUUUCUUGUAAGUUUUGUUGUAAAAAGUUCACUUAUUGUCAUCAGCUUGAUAUUCAUAGUCAGUUACAUUACAACCCAGAACUUCAUUGUGAUGGUUGUCACCUGGACUUUGAUAAACAUUACCGAUUUGUUCUCCACAAGAAAAAAGAUCCCAUAAUGCAUAAAAGAAAAUCCUGUUCAAAGAAAAAAACUCUGCACGCUAUGAAUCCUGGGAAUCAAUCUGAAUCUUUCAAGUGCGCUGUCUGCGGGAAGAAAUUUAGAUACAAAAAAUGGUUAGACCAUCACCAAAUGACAUUUCAGGACUUAAAGCACAAGAGAUUUUGCUUUGUGUGUGGAAUUAUGUUCAAACUACCAACAAAAAUGAGAAAACACAUGAAAACUCACACAAAGGCACCGGAAAAAUCGAGAAGGUCUUUCCUUUGCCACAUCUGUGGUAGGCUUUUCAAACAAAUUUCAAAUAUGUGGGGCCAUAUAAGAGCCCACACUGUGAAAGAAAUUAAAAACUCUGGGACACUAAGGCGCCCCCCUGACAGGAGUUCUGUGCACGAGUGUGGUCUGUGUGUCAGGGUGUUCUCUAAGAAAAGUUACUUGCUGAUACACAAGAAGGUACACGAGAGGCCGGACACUCAAAAAUGUCAAGUCUGCAACGGAGUGUUUGGUAGUCUGGGUGCCCUGAACCGCCACAAGCGUAAUGUACAUCAGAUGUACAUCAACAUAUCUAAGCAGAUUGAAUUGAAGUGAUUGAAGUCUUGCAAAGGUGUAAAAAUCAGAUAUGUGCAUACCAUUAUGUGAAAAAACGAUUCUCAAAGGAAAAUAAAAUGUAUAUGAAAAGUAAUUUUAUUUGUAGAUGUACAAAAACUUGUUCUGUGUCUUAACAUGCUUAAAGUAAUACAAUUUUUUAAACUUGAUUUUUUUAUUUUCAACUUUGCUUUUCUUAAAUCAAUUUUACAAUCUUGCAGAUUCCCGUAGAUGCUAAAUGAGUACAAACACUGUAUAUUAUUUAUCUAGGUUACCAAAUGUUAACAUAUUGUUCACUGUUCUUAUGUAAAAUUAUCUCAAGUUUAACUUCUUUUGUUGGGGGUAUAUCCUUGUAUCUUUAUAAUACAAUGUACAUGAUUGGAACCAUUGAAAGCUUUUGUUCGAACUCUUAAAAUUUAUUGAAAGGUCAAGAUAGUUACAGAAAAUUUCGGUACACAUUUCAGAAUAGAAUGAAAUUUGAGGUUCUCAUUAAGAGUUGUUGUCCUCCAUUUUCACUGAAAGUGGGGAAAUAUUAAUUAGGGUAAGUCUGUAUUUCUGUCUGUAAUACUUUCCAAGAAGCUUUUGAGCUUUUGAAAUAAAAUGCUCUUUGCUGAAGGAAGCCCCCUAUUUAUUUUGAGGUACCGAGGUCAAGGUCAUUAGAACAAUUCACAGAUAAGCUUGGACUUUUAGUAAGGCAUGGCAUUUUGAUGCUACAUAAUUAGCCUCUUAGAUUUACACAGUUUUCCCUCACUGUUGUAAUAUACGUAGGAUAAAAAUUCAGGCAAAUGUCAACUGUUGUGUCAAAUAGCCAAUUACAAGUUCUCGCACGGCUCAGAAGUGGGGCUUAAGUCGUCUCAUCUUUGUCAACAACAUUUUAAAGUUUCUGAUGUGAUAUAUUUUUUAACCAGUAAAAAUCUGAUCACUAUUUGACAGACGCUAAUUUAACAUUGCGCCAAGAAUGACUAUUUUUCAACUUACUGAAAGUCCAAGCUUACUUGAGAAUUGUACUAAUUCAUACAUUCUGUGUGUUUAUGUGUAAAACAUUCAUUUCAGGGUGAUACAUGUAUCUCAGGCAGCUUGUUAGUUUUUGCAAUAUUUAAUUUUAACCAUAACCCCCUAUUGCCCUGCUCCACCUCCUUAAAGUGUACACCCUCGCCCCCCCCCCCCCCCCCCCUUUUUCAGCUCCUGACUUGUUCUUUUUUCCUGUGGCGGGGGACACGGAUUCUCUGAAUAAGCUUGUUACUACAGUGUACAUGUAGAGCAAAGGAGAGUACAGGGCAUCAUGUUUAUCAUAGGUUAUGGAUUAAUAUUUUGACUUCAACCUAUUACUAGAUCAAAGGUUAAAGUAUCAUAGCUUUUACUUUUAGUUGAUAGAAAUGGAUUGUUUUAAGUACAAUGUCUGAAAUCACAGAUUGCUGUAAAUUAAUAUAAUAAAUUAA
Saccostrea cuccullata (small rock oyster) is the source of this 4742-nucleotide RNA transcript. It is a transcript of the gene named zinc finger protein 888-like, with no coding region annotated. The transcript has 4 exons. Lineage: Eukaryota; Metazoa; Mollusca; Bivalvia; Ostreida; Ostreidae. The record is from RefSeq and is a predicted model, not a curated record.